RNAcentral lists this transfer RNA (135 nucleotides) under Achnatherum inebrians. Its description in RNAcentral is "transfer RNA-Lys (UUU)". Lineage: Eukaryota; Viridiplantae; Streptophyta; Magnoliopsida; Poales; Poaceae. The record is from RNAcentral.
CCGACUAGUUCCGGGUUCGAGUCCCGGGCAACCCAUAUGGAAAAUAGAAAAGAGCAAUCUGAGUUUUUAAUUUUCACUCACUUCAUUUACAAAAUUUAUUGGUUUGGUUAAUUUCGUUAUAUGGAUAUCCAAUCU